This 497-nucleotide ribosomal RNA is filed under the name uncultured bacterium. RNAcentral's name for it is "partial 16S ribosomal RNA". It matches the Rfam family "Bacterial small subunit ribosomal RNA", at positions 28 to 507 of the family's 1533-position model. The record is from RNAcentral.
GAUGAACGCUGGCGGCGUGCCUAAUACAUGCAAGUCGAGCGAACAGACGAGGAGCUUGCUCCUCUGACGUUAGCGGCGGACGGGUGAGUAACACGUGGAUAACCUACCUAUAAGACUGGGAUAACUUCGGGAAACCGGCGCUAAUACCGGAUAAUAUAUUGAACCGCAUGGUUCAAUAGUGAAAGACGGUUUUGCUGUCACUUAUAGAUGGAUCCGCGCCGCAUUAGCUAGUUGGUAAGGUAACGGCUUAUCAAGGCAACGAUGCGUAGCCGACCUGAGAGGGUGAUCGGCCACACUGGAACUGAGACACGGUCCAGACGCCUACGGGAGGCAGCAGUAGGGAAUCUGCCGCAAUGGGCGAAAGCUUGACGGAGCAACGCCGCGUGAGUGAUGAAGGUCUUCGGAUCGUAAAACUCGGUUAUUAGGGAAGAACAAAUGUGUAAGUAACUAUGCACGUCUUGACGGUACCUAAUCAGAAAGCCACGGCUAACUACGUG